GGGUUGUGAGGUUAAGCGACUAAGCGUACACGGUGGAUGCCCUGGCAGUCAGAGGCGAUGAAGGACGUGCUAAUCUGCGAUAAGCGUCGGUAAGGUGAUAUGAACCGUUAUAACCGGCGAUUUCCGAAUGGGGAAACCCAGUGUGAUUCGUCACACUAUCAUUAACUGAAUCCAUAGGUUAAUGAGGCGAACCGGGGGAACUGAAACAUCUAAGUACCCGAGGAAAAGAAAUCAACCGAGAUUCCCCAGUAGCGGCGAGCGAACGGGGAGCAGCCCAGAGCCUGAAUCAGUGUGUGUGUUAGUGGAAGCGUCUGGAAAGGCGUGCGAUACAGGGUGACAGCCCCGUACACAAAAAUGCACAUACUGUGAGCUCGAUGAGUAGGGCGGGACACGUGGUAUCCUGUCUGAAUAUGGGGGGACCAUCCUCCAAGGCUAAAUACUCCUGACUGACCGAUAGUGAACCAGUACCGUGAGGGAAAGGCGAAAAGAACCCCGGCGAGGGGAGUGAAAAAGAACCUGAAACCGUGUACGUACAAGCAGUGGGAGCACGCUUAGGCGUGUGACUGCGUACCUUUUGUAUAAUGGGUCAGCGACUUAUAUUCUGUAGCAAGGUUAACCGAAUAGGGGAGCCGAAGGGAAACCGAGUCUUAACUGGGCGUUAAGUUGCAGGGUAUAGACCCGAAACCCGGUGAUCUAGCCAUGGGCAGGUUGAAGGUUGGGUAACACUAACUGGAGGACCGAACCGACUAAUGUUGAAAAAUUAGCGGAUGACUUGUGGCUGGGGGUGAAAGGCCAAUCAAACCGGGAGAUAGCUGGUUCUCCCCGAAAGCUAUUUAGGUAGCGCCUCGUGAAUUCAUCUCCGGGGUAGAGCACUGUUUCGGCAAGGGGGUCAUCCCGACUUACCAACCCGAUGCAAACUGCGAAUACCGGAGAAUGUUAUCACGGGAGACACACGGCGGGUGCUAACGUCCGUCGUGAAGAGGGAAACAACCCAGACCGCCAGCUAAGGUCCCAAAGUCAUGGUUAAGUGGGAAACGAUGUGGGAAGGCCCAGACAGCCAGGAUGUUGGCUUAGAAGCAGCCAUCAUUUAAAGAAAGCGUAAUAGCUCACUGGUCGAGUCGGCCUGCGCGGAAGAUGUAACGGGGCUAAACCAUGCACCGAAGCUGCGGCAGCGACGCUUAUGCGUUGUUGGGUAGGGGAGCGUUCUGUAAGCCUGUGAAGGUGUGCUGUGAGGUAUGCUGGAGGUAUCAGAAGUGCGAAUGCUGACAUAAGUAACGAUAAAGCGGGUGAAAAGCCCGCUCGCCGGAAGACCAAGGGUUCCUGUCCAACGUUAAUCGGGGCAGGGUGAGUCGACCCCUAAGGCGAGGCCGAAAGGCGUAGUCGAUGGGAAACAGGUUAAUAUUCCUGUACUUGGUGUUACUGCGAAGGGGGGACGGAGAAGGCUAUGUUGGCCGGGCGACGGUUGUCCCGGUUUAAGCGUGUAGGCUGGUUUUCCAGGCAAAUCCGGAAAAUCAAGGCCGAGGCGUGAUGACGAGGCACUACGGUGCUGAAGCAACAAAUGCCCUGCUUCCAGGAAAAGCCUCUAAGCAUCAGGUAACAUCAAAUCGUACCCCAAACCGACACAGGUGGUCAGGUAGAGAAUACCAAGGCGCUUGAGAGAACUCGGGUGAAGGAACUAGGCAAAAUGGUGCCGUAACUUCGGGAGAAGGCACGCUGAUACGUAGGUGAAGCGACUUGCUCGUGGAGCUGAAAUCAGUCGAAGAUACCAGCUGGCUGCAACUGUUUAUUAAAAACACAGCACUGUGCAAACACGAAAGUGGACGUAUACGGUGUGACGCCUGCCCGGUGCCGGAAGGUUAAUUGAUGGGGUUAGCGCAAGCGAAGCUCUUGAUCGAAGCCCCGGUAAACGGCGGCCGUAACUAUAACGGUCCUAAGGUAGCGAAAUUCCUUGUCGGGUAAGUUCCGACCUGCACGAAUGGCGUAAUGAUGGCCAGGCUGUCUCCACCCGAGACUCAGUGAAAUUGAACUCGCUGUGAAGAUGCAGUGUACCCGCGGCAAGACGGAAAGACCCCGUGAACCUUUACUAUAGCUUGACACUGAACAUUGAGCCUUGAUGUGUAGGAUAGGUGGGAGGCUUUGAAGUGUGGACGCCAGUCUGCAUGGAGCCGACCUUGAAAUACCACCCUUUAAUGUUUGAUGUUCUAACGUGGACCCGUGAUCCGGGUUGCGGACAGUGUCUGGUGGGUAGUUUGACUGGGGCGGUCUCCUCCUAAAGAGUAACGGAGGAGCACGAAGGUUGGCUAAUCCUGGUCGGACAUCAGGAGGUUAGUGCAAUGGCAUAAGCCAGCUUGACUGCGAGCGUGACGGCGCGAGCAGGUGCGAAAGCAGGUCAUAGUGAUCCGGUGGUUCUGAAUGGAAGGGCCAUCGCUCAACGGAUAAAAGGUACUCCGGGGAUAACAGGCUGAUACCGCCCAAGAGUUCAUAUCGACGGCGGUGUUUGGCACCUCGAUGUCGGCUCAUCACAUCCUGGGGCUGAAGUAGGUCCCAAGGGUAUGGCUGUUCGCCAUUUAAAGUGGUACGCGAGCUGGGUUUAGAACGUCGUGAGACAGUUCGGUCCCUAUCUGCCGUGGGCGCUGGAGAACUGAGGGGGGCUGCUCCUAGUACGAGAGGACCGGAGUGGACGCAUCACUGGUGUUCGGGUUGUCAUGCCAAUGGCACUGCCCGGUAGCUAAAUGCGGAAGAGAUAAGUGCUGAAAGCAUCUAAGCACGAAACUUGCCCCGAGAUGAGUUCUCCCUGACCCUUUAAGGGUCCUGAAGGAACGUUGAAGACGACGACGUUGAUAGGCCGGGUGUGUAAGCGCAGCGAUGCGUUGAGCUAACCGGUACUAAUGAACCGUGAGGCUUAACCUUACAACGCCGAAG
RNAcentral lists this ribosomal RNA (2922 nucleotides) under Shigella flexneri 4c. Its description in RNAcentral is "bacterial LSU rRNA". It matches the Rfam family "Bacterial large subunit ribosomal RNA". The record is from RNAcentral. Lineage: Bacteria; Pseudomonadati; Pseudomonadota; Gammaproteobacteria; Enterobacterales; Enterobacteriaceae.